Molecule: small RNA, 119 nt
Filed under: Microcoleus sp.
Lineage: Bacteria; Bacillati; Cyanobacteriota; Cyanophyceae; Oscillatoriales; Microcoleaceae
Description: c-di-AMP sequence
Rfam family: c-di-AMP riboswitch aptamer (ydaO/yuaA leader)
About the family: This family represents a conserved RNA structure found upstream of the ydaO and yuaA genes in Bacillus subtilis and related genes in other bacteria.
Source: RNAcentral
AGUAGUCAAAAACCAGAUUCAGAGCGGAGGAACCAAAUAUUGGGGCGAAUCUUAUUAGAUAAGAGAGACACCUUCCAGUCUUAGCCCGUCAGCUAACUCCGUAGGCAAUGGGAGGAGUA